RNAcentral lists this ribosomal RNA (526 nucleotides) under uncultured bacterium. RNAcentral's name for it is "bacterial SSU rRNA". It matches the Rfam family "Bacterial small subunit ribosomal RNA", at positions 355 to 896 of the family's 1533-position model. The record is from RNAcentral.
CAAGGAAUUUUGGGCAAUGGACGAAAGUCUGACCCAGCGACACCGCGUGAGGGAAUAAGGCCUUCGGGUUGUAAACCUCUUUUCUUGGGGAAGAAUCUCGACGGUACCCAAGGAAUAAGCCUCGGCCAACUACGUGCCAGCAGCCGCGGUAAUACGUAGGAGGCGAACGUUAUUCGGAUUUACUGGGCGUAAAGGGAGCGUAGGCGGUUCCUUAAGUCGGAUGUGAAAUCUUCUGACUCAAUCGGAAGGCGCCAUUUGAUACUGAGGGACUUGAGAGCAGCAGAGGGAAAUGGAAUCUCCAGUGUAGCGGUGAAAUGCGUAGAUAUUGGAGAGAACACCAGUGGCAAGGGCGGUUUCCCAGGCUGCUUCUGACGCUGAGGCUCGAAAGCGUGGGGAGCGAAGCGGAUUAGAUACCCGCGUAGUCCACGCCCUAAACGGUGGACACUAGAUAUGGGAGGUAUCGACCCUUUCUGUGUCGAAGCUAACGCUUUAAGUGUCCCGCCUGGGGAGUACGGCCGCAAGGCUG